GGUGGCACAGACCAGGGGGUGGCGACUGUUUACUAAAAACAUAGGGCUCUGCGAAGUAGCAAUACGACGUAUAGGGUCUGACGCCUGCCCGGUGCCUGAAGGUUAAAAGGAGAGGUGAGAGCUUGAAUUGAAGCCCAGGUAAACGGCGGCCGUAACUAUAACGGUCCUAAGGUAGCGAAAUUCCUUGUCGGGUAAGUUCCGACCUGCACGAAUGGCGUAACGACUUCCCCACUGUCUCCAGCAUAGACUCAGCGAAAUUGAACUCCCCGUGAAGAUGCGGGGUUCCUGCGGUUAGACGGAAAGACCCCGUGCACCUUUACUAUAGCUUCACACUGGCAUUCGUGUCGGCAUGUGCAGAAUAGGUGGUAGCUUUGAACUAUAGACGCCAGUUUAUAGGGAGCCAAAAUGUGAGAUACCACCCUUAUCGUCAUGUAUGUCUAACCGCGGCGUAACAGCGUCCGGGACAGUGUGUGGUGGGUAGUUUGACUGGGGCGGUCGCCUCCCAAAGAGUAACGGAGGCGCGCGAUGGUGGCUCAGACCGGUCGGAAAUCGGUCGUCGAGUGCAAUGGCAUAAGCCGCCUGACUGCGAGACUGACAAGUCGAGCAGAGACGAAAGUCGGUCAUAGUGAUCCGGUGGUCCCGCGUGGAAGGGCCAUCGCUCAACGGAUAAAAGGUACGCCGGGGAUAACAGGCUGAUGAUGCCCAAGAGUCCAUAUCGACGGCAUUGUUUGGCACCUCGAUGUCGGCUCAUCGCAUCCUGGGGCUGGAGCAGGUCCCAAGGGUUUGGCUGUUCGCCAAUUAAAGCGGUACGCGAGCUGGGUUUAGAACGUCGUGAGACAGUUCGGUCCCUAUCUGCCGUGGGUGUAGGAAUGUUGAGAAGAGUUGCCCCUAGUACGAGAGGACCGGGGUGAACAGAUCUCUGGUGGACCUGUUG
This 934-nucleotide ribosomal RNA is filed under the name bioreactor metagenome. Its description in RNAcentral is "bacterial LSU rRNA". It matches the Rfam family "Bacterial large subunit ribosomal RNA", at positions 1775 to 2723 of the family's 2925-position model. The record is from RNAcentral.